Molecule: ribosomal RNA, 184 nt
Filed under: uncultured bacterium
Lineage: Bacteria
Description: partial 16S ribosomal RNA
Rfam family: Bacterial small subunit ribosomal RNA
Source: RNAcentral
UUCAUGAAGCUGGAAUUGCUAGUAAUGGCAGGUCAGCAUACUGCCGUGAAUACGUUCCCGGGCCUUGUACACACCGCCCGUCACACCAUGAGAGUUGGAAAUACCCGAAGCCUGUGAGCUAACUGUAAAGAGGCAGCAGUCGAAGGUAGAGCCAAUGAUUGGGGUGAAGUCGUAACAAGGUAAC